AGAAACAGUAGAACAUACAGUCUCUGCUAUCUUCCCUUUCUUAAAUCUGUAAUUAAAAUCUAUGUAUAUCUGCACAGAUGAGGAUGAAGCUCAAUUGCAAGGAAAUCACUGUUUCUGGAGGAACAUUGCUAUGAGCCAAGCCUUGGUGCUUCCAUUAGCACAGACUCCAGGACUGAUGCCACAAGGAAGCAGUAGAAGCUGUGCAGAGCUACGCAGCUCUCCAGGCAGGAUGUUUCUGUGGCCCAGCACCUCCCAUCAGCUGACAGUCACCUACAGGGGUGGUAAGGAGAUGCUGCAAAGCAAGGAGCCCUUCCCAGAGAUGGGAAAACCAGCUGGCCCAAGGAGAAGUGUUUCACAUGAUAAUGGCAUGUUUCUGGUCUUGAGAGGAACAGAGACCACAGCUUCCCCCCCCGCUGCGAACAAGUCCAGCUCCCUGAACUGAAGGGAUAUUAGGAAAUGAAUAGGCUUGUGGCUCUCUGCUUGAAUCCUCCUGCUGUGGCCCUUCCUGCCAUGCAUGUGUGGAAGCCAGCACGUGUUCAGAGGGACAGGUCAUAUCAGCUUCCCAGCUGUGCUGGAAUGACUUCAUGGAGAGCUGUGGACAUGCUCUGGAGGUGCAGCAAUUAGCCACAGCCAAGAUCACACUGCUCAUCCAGGCCUUCCAUGGCUGCCCUGCAGGCAGCAAUGACCUCCCUUGGUGUUUCAGCAUAGCUCUGCAUAGAUCUUUCUUCAAGCUGCUCUGUGGGAGCUGGAUGAUUCCCAAAAUGCCUGAACUCACCUCUCGCUGCACCAGCCACAUGUUUGCUCAGUAGGGCUGCUGAGGCACAUACAUGUGCUAUAGGGUGGGUCAAAAUUUCCCUCAGUGAUCACAUCAGCAAGAGAUGAGUCCUUGUGCAAUUAAAUCCUACCCUGCAAGAGCAGUCUAUAACCCCUGGACAGAGCAGACUUUGCUUCUGUUCCACUGAAGGGAGAGCAGCUCGUGGCAGAGCUUUUGCCAAAUGUUAAUUAGCUAAUUUUGACAGUCACUCCAUAGGUCAUUUCUGCUUUGCAGGCUGCUGGGGACGAGAAGGCCUUGCAGGAGCCACCAGAGGCAUGGGUGCAGUUUGUUGUGACUAGUUCCGAGUUCUGGGUUUCAGUCCUCAACUCUGUCUGCUUGAGCACAACAGAUUUAUCCCAGCUCGCUAUGUGAGCUUGGAUAAACUUGUUUUCUCUGCCUUGUCUCCCUGCGUGUGUGAAGGCACCCCCUCAGCCUGGAGCAGCAGGGCUGUGGUUCAAAGGCGGCUGGGCUCUGAGUCAGAUGCCUCUGCCCUCACACCGCCUCUGCUCCUGUAUGACCUUAGGCCAGGCGUUUAAACUUGUUGCACCACACGUGUCAUGGCAGAGGAACCUGAAAGAGCUCCUGCGAGGCUGUUGUGUCAGCACAGUGCAAUUUGGGGCAAUGCUCAUUUGCUCCGCUUUCUCCGGAUCCAGGUCCUGUGGCUUGGGUUUGGAGAUGGACUCAGCUUGGAUCUGCUCCUGGCUGGGGUUAGCCUCUCCCUGACCACAUCCAAGUACCCACGCACAGUCUGCACCCACUGUAUUUUAUUUUAUUUUAUUUUAAAUGCAAAAGCACAUGGACAGAAUAAAUCUGAACAAAACGGGGAGUCUUCCUUUGAG
RNAcentral lists this long non-coding RNA (1653 nucleotides) under Anas platyrhynchos platyrhynchos (common mallard). Its description in RNAcentral is "lncRNA (ENSAPLG00000017649.1)". The record is from RNAcentral. Lineage: Eukaryota; Metazoa; Chordata; Aves; Anseriformes; Anatidae.